RNAcentral lists this unclassified non-coding RNA (394 nucleotides) under Hevea brasiliensis (rubber tree). Lineage: Eukaryota; Viridiplantae; Streptophyta; Magnoliopsida; Malpighiales; Euphorbiaceae. The record is from RNAcentral.
GAAAUGCGGUAAUCACAUUGUACCUCUCCAGAUGUAUCACUGACAUUAUCAUGUUUGCUUGAUAUCCUUGAGACAUCAGUUGACGCUGAGGGAAGAUAUUCAAUACUGGAAACAGCACUUGAUACCGAUUCACUCCGGCUGUGAAUAUAGGAAAUCCCUGGGGAUGUGUGGCCAGAUUUUUCAGCCUCCCUGAUACGGCAUGCACUAAAUUCUUCUUCACUUAAUUCGGAUGUGCAAUCAACCUUUUCAAAAGCUUGUCCACCUUGAUGACAAAGUCUUGACAUUGAAUUGCUGGUAUCUGAGGAACCUCGCACAUCGUCCAUAUCAGUAAGGUGUACAGGAUUAGAUGUGAUUCCAUCAUGAGUGGACUCAGGGUUCCCAUUAAGCCUCACUU